AGUUGUUGAACUGUCCAAGCCAGUGGAGAUCUCGUCCAUAAAAAGUGCCCUUGAUGGCCCAACCAGCAUUUCACCUGUUGUAACACGCUUCCUUUGUCCUCCAGAGAAAACCCGCAACAUUUCAUCUCCUACCAAGGUAUCUGCACAGAUAUCUAAUCCCAAAAUCUUCAAAAUAUAAUCUGUGACCAAACUAGCCGCUUGUCCUUCUGUUGCAGCAGCCUUCAUGAAAACAUCGAUAUCUGGAUUAGGUUUAAUAUUAGCUGCUUUCUCUCUUCUAGACAACUCUGCUAGCAUCUCAUGUAGACAUCCAACCCCUUCGCAUCUAGCAGAAAAUGCCAGAGUUCCCCUUACAGUCAUUUCUCCUAUAUGAAUAUCAUGCUGAUUAAUAUUGGCAGCUGUUUUCUGUGGAAUAAAUUCAUUCAUCCCAUGGCCAUUGCAAGUCACACUACCAGAGAACUUCAAAUUAGGAUCAAACUUGCCAGCCAGCGCGAGCAAAAAUGUAGUCUUUCCAGAACUAGGAGGACCCAAAAGUAGAGUCAUUCUUGAGGGCUCGAUGACCCCAUUAAUAUCCUUAAGGAUGGUCAAUGGUUUCUUUCUACUGGGAAGCAUAUGAAGAUAAUUCAAGAAACCCUCUAGUGCAUUAACAGAGAAGUUAACGAAUGUAGGCAGAGCACUGUUUCCUACCAAAGCUUCUGUUUCAAUAUUUAGAUGUUCAAAUCGAACUUCAAUUGUUGGGAGUUAAAUUCCAACACUCUCGAGCAAACUUUUCCUCUCCUGGAAUCCAUGAGUAUCUACGUCAACCUCAUUACCUCCACCUCUGGAUGCACUAAUCAAAAUACCUUUCCUCAAACGAUCAUAAGUAGGCAGCUUUUCAAGAGCAGCCCAUUUAAGAUCUUCAUCGUCAUCUUCUUCUCUAUAAGAUCUUGAGAAAACAUCUACAGCAUUAUUUAUCGGGGUUUUUGAUUGUGAGUUAAAUGUAAUUAUUAAAGGUGGGUGAAUUAUAACGAGGUGUA
RNAcentral lists this unclassified non-coding RNA (1013 nucleotides) under Hevea brasiliensis (rubber tree). Lineage: Eukaryota; Viridiplantae; Streptophyta; Magnoliopsida; Malpighiales; Euphorbiaceae. The record is from RNAcentral.